GUGGGGAAUAUUGGGCAAUGGGCGAAAGCCUGACCCAGCAACGCCGCGUGAAGGAAGAAGGUUUUCGGAUUGUAAACUUCUGUCCUCAGGGAAGAAGGAAGUGACGGUACCUGAGGAGGAAGCCCCGGCUAACUACGUGCCAGCAGCCGCGGUAAUACGUAGGGGGCGAGCGUUGUCCGGAAUGACUGGGCGUAAAGGGCGCGUAGACGGCUGUCUAAGUCUGGAGUGAAAGUCCUGCUUUCAAGGUGGGAAUUGCUUUGGAGACUGGAUGGCUUGAGUGCGGAAGAGGUAAGUGGAAUUCCCAGUGUAGCGGUGAAAUGCGUAGAGAUUGGGAAGAACACCAGUGGCGAAGGCGACUUACUGGGCCGUAACUGACGUUGAUGCGCGAAAGCGUGGGGAGCGAACAGGAUUAGAUACCCUAGUAGUCC
RNAcentral lists this ribosomal RNA (428 nucleotides) under uncultured bacterium. RNAcentral's name for it is "partial 16S ribosomal RNA". It matches the Rfam family "Bacterial small subunit ribosomal RNA", at positions 354 to 796 of the family's 1533-position model. The record is from RNAcentral.